CUCCUACGGGUGGCAGCAGUGGGGAAUUUUGGACAAUGGGCGCAAGCCUGAUCCAGCCAUGCCGCGUGCAGGAUGAAGGCCUUCGGGUUGUAAACUGCUUUUGUACGGAACGAAAAGACUCUGGUUAAUACCUGGGGUCCAUGACGGUACCGUAAGAAUAAGCACCGGCUAACUACGUGCCAGCAGCCGCGGUAAUACGUAGGGUGCGAGCGUUAAUCGGAAUUACUGGGCGUAAAGCGUGCGCAGGCGGUUAUGUAAGACAGAGGUGAAAUCCCCGGGCUCAACCUGGGAACUGCAUUUGUGACUGCAUAGCUAGAGUACGGCAGAGGGGGAUGGAAUUCCGCGUGUAGCAGUGAAAUGCGUAGAUAUGCGGAGGAACACCGAUGGCGAAGGCAAUCCCCUGGGCCUGUACUGACGCUCAUGCACGAAAGCGUGGGGAGCAAACAGGAUUAGAUACCCUGGUAGUCCAC
This 470-nucleotide ribosomal RNA is filed under the name uncultured Comamonadaceae bacterium. RNAcentral's name for it is "bacterial SSU rRNA". It matches the Rfam family "Bacterial small subunit ribosomal RNA", at positions 336 to 798 of the family's 1533-position model. The record is from RNAcentral. Lineage: Bacteria; Pseudomonadati; Pseudomonadota; Betaproteobacteria; Burkholderiales; Comamonadaceae.